This is a long non-coding RNA of Monomorium pharaonis (pharaoh ant), 2546 nucleotides long. RefSeq lists it as uncharacterized. The record is from RefSeq and is a predicted model, not a curated record. Lineage: Eukaryota; Metazoa; Arthropoda; Insecta; Hymenoptera; Formicidae. The transcript has 2 exons.
AGAAAAUAUGUGCAACAACUUUAUCAUAUAUAGUUUUUUCUUUUAAUAAACCACGCGAAGUUUAAAAUUAUUCCGUCAUUAAUUCUUUGUCAAUUGUUUCAAUACCAGCAUUUUGAGCGAUAAUAUAAAAUAGGAUAAUAAAAAAUUAGAAUUUAAGAUGAGAUUCAAUUGUUUUUCUUUAAAAAAAGAACAACGAAGGAAAUCUCUAAAAAAAUGUUUUUUAUUAACUCUAGAAGACAAAUCUGGGGUGCCUUAUCAUCACAAUUAAAAUUUAUACCAGAACGUGCAGUGCUUCAUAGGUAAGAAGUUGUGAGAAUAUACAAAUUUCUACACACAUUAUUUAUUCAACCAAAUACAUUUACUGAAGUUCUUUAUUUUUGAAGUACUUUAUUCCUCAUAUUAUAUCUCAUUUGAAUCAUAACAAAACCUCAAUUUCUUUUUUUGUUGUUAUGACACCUAUCCUAUAUGCAGUAAUUCAGUUCUUAUUGCACAUGACCACUACGCGCCUACAUCACACACACACACACACGCGCGCGCGUCAUGGCACCCAUACUCACUGCGCCGAACCGCUAAGAUUCUCACAGAUUAUGGGCCCAGAGGAAUUGCUCAAGAUGCAGAUACCAAUAAAGAAGCUAACCUCAAAAAAUUUCGAGAGCUGGUACAUACGCAUUAACCACUUCGUCAGCAUUGACGCCAUAUGGCGCGGAAAAUAUGUGUGCCCCAGGGGGCAUUGACACCUUAUGGCAUACAUCGUUUAUUUUUUAAUUGGCUAGAUCGAUUUGCAUGAAAAUUGAUAUCCAAAAGUUUUUUGUGUCACUGAAUAUGAAUCCAAGGUCCAAACUCCAAAAUUCAAAAUGGCGGACCCAAAAUGGCAAACCCAAAAUAAUCAAAAUUUUUUUAUUGUUAUGAAAGCUGGUAUCUAGGGGUUUUUGGAUCGCUGAGUACGAAUCCAAAGUUAAAACUCCAAAAUUCAAUAUGGCGGACCCAAAAUAAACCCAAAUUUAGCAAUUCAAAAACCUCUGUAUUGUGAAUUUUAUCCAAAUAAAUUAAAAUAUUUUUGGUCCGCCAUAUUAAAUCCACCAUUUUGAAUUUUAAAAUUCUAUGUCUGAUUCGUAAUCAGCGACCCCGAAAGCUUUCAGAUAUAAAGUAUCUUUGAAUUGCGAUUACUUUUUUUUCUUGCUCACAGGGGCACGGACCGUGAAAUUUCGCCUGCCAACGAAGUGGUUAAGGCAUUACUUGCCAGUAAACAAAUAAGCGAGGUCCUGGAAGAUAACUAUUUUGUCCAAGGAACGACAGAAUACGCUACAUUCCAGAAAAACGACAGGACAGUAAAAUUUGACAGCUGCGUGGAACGCAUGGAAACCAGCGGGCUCACGGUGAGUGAGGAGGAAAAGAUAAUUCAGCUGCUGAUGGCAAUGCCAGCGGAAUUCAAUAGCGUGAUCACGGCAAUCGAGACGAUGGCAGCCAGAGGCAAUACCAUCUCAGUCAAAUUCGUAAAGAACCGCCUUCUCGACAAGAAUGUAAAACUGAAAAGGGGAAUACAUCAAACCAAAGGCGCGACGUAGCGUUCCUAACCUGCUGUCACUGUGGCAAGAAAAGGCAUUUCAAGAGAGACUGUCGGCAUAGAAAUGACAACAGAAGACGAUCGGGGAUUCAACGACCAGGAGUACAAAGAGAGGCGUACAGAAGGCGUCAAUAAUGCCUUCCUACACGAAAUAAACCGCAUUCGGGGUCAGUAACAACUAGGCGCAUCUCAUCUAGCUAUUCGUGCAUCAUAACUGUUAGUCUAAAAAGAUAUUAUUUCCAAAUGGUAUGCAUGCACAUUCUCAACAGCUUUGAGUGCACUUUGCAAAAUAUUGCAUCAUGUAGUUAAGAUAUAAAUAAUAAUUUAUGCUAAUUUAAUAUAUAUAAUCUAAGCAGUAUAUAUUGUUAAAAAAAUAAGAAGAUUAAAAUAAUAUAAAUUAUAGAAAAACCCAAUAAAAAUUUUUUUAUACAAAAUAUAUAUAAAUAUAUAUAAUUAUACACAAAAUGUCCAUAUAUUUUUAUAUUAACUUAUUUUCUGUUAGUCUAAAAAGAUUAUUUCCAAAUGGUGUGCACGCACAUUCUUAACAACUUUAAAUGCACUUUGCAAAAUAUUGCAUCAUGUAAUUAAAAGAUAAAUAAUAAUUUAUACUAAUUUAGUACAUAUAAUCUAAGCAGUAUAUAUUGUUAAAAAAAUAAGUAGAUUAAAAAUUUUUAUUUAGUAUAAAAUAAUAAUAAUCAUACUGAAAUGACGAAUUAAAAAGAUAAUUUUUCUACUGUUCUGUUCUGUAUAUAUUACAUUGCGUGUGAUAUUUACGUGACCAUGAUAAUUUUUUUUUUAAUUUAAUUUAAACCCAUUAUGAUUAUAAUUUAUAAUAUACAGAUUAAUGCAAGAUUAAGAAGAACUGCAGAACAAAAUAAAAAUAUUGUUGAAUCAGUUAACGAAAUCCUUUCAAUGCUACUGCAACAGUUUUCGUCUCACCGUGCUUUCCAAAAUUAGAAAAUUAUUAUUGCGUAAAAAAAAA